Hordeum vulgare subsp. vulgare (domesticated barley) is the source of this 124-nucleotide non-coding RNA. The record is from Rfam. Lineage: Eukaryota; Viridiplantae; Streptophyta; Magnoliopsida; Poales; Poaceae.
CAAAUACUCCCUCCAUCCGGAAUUUGUUGUCGCAUAAAUUGAUAAAAAUGGAUGUAUCUAAACUGAAAUAUCUCUAGAUACAUUCAUUCAUAUGACAAGUAAUUUAGGACGGAGGGAGUAGGAA